UGGAAUAUUGCACAAUGGGCGCAAGCCUGAUGCAGCGACGCCGCGUGAGGGAUGACGGCCUUCGGGUUGUAAACCUCUUUCAGCAGGGAAGAAGCGCAAGUGACGGUACCUGCAGAAGAAGCGCCGGCUAACUACGUGCCAGCAGCCGCGGUAAUACGUAGGGCGCAAGCGUUGUCCGGAACUAUUGGGCGUAAAGAGCUCGUAGGCGGUCUGUCGCGUCUGGUGUGAAAUCCCGAGGCUCGACCUCGGGCUUGCAUCGGGUACGGGCAGACUAGAGUGCGGUAGGGGAGACUGGAAUUCCUGGUGUAGCGGUGGAAUGCGCAGAUAUCAGGAGGAACACCGAUGGCGAAGGCAGGUCUCUGGGCCGCAACUGACGCUGAGGAGCGAAAGCAUGGGGAGCGAACAGGAUUAGAUACCCUGGUAGUCCAUGCCGUAAACGUUGGGCACUAGGUGUGGGGCUCAUUCCACGAGUUCCGUGCCGCAGCUAACGCAUUAAGUGCCCCGCCUGGGGAGUACGGCCGCAAGGCUAAAACUCAAAUGAAUUGACGGA
Molecule: ribosomal RNA, 550 nt
Filed under: uncultured bacterium
Lineage: Bacteria
Description: bacterial SSU rRNA
Rfam family: Bacterial small subunit ribosomal RNA
Source: RNAcentral